RNAcentral lists this ribosomal RNA (398 nucleotides) under uncultured bacterium. RNAcentral describes it as "partial 16S ribosomal RNA". It matches the Rfam family "Bacterial small subunit ribosomal RNA", at positions 338 to 734 of the family's 1533-position model. The record is from RNAcentral.
CCUACGGGAGGCAGCAGUGAGGAAUAUUGGUCAAUGGCCGGAAGGCUGAACCAGCCAAGCCGCGUGAAGGACGAAGGUGCUCCGGGUUGUAAACUUCUUUUGUCCAGGGACAAAAUCAGGCUCGUGUGCCUGACUGCAGGUACUUUACGAAAAAGCGUCGGCUAACUCCGUGCCAGCAGCCGCGGUAAUACGGAGGACGCGAGCGUUAUCCGGAUUUAUUGGGUUUAAAGGGGGCGUAGGCGGGCUGUUAAGUCAGCGGUAAAAUCCCGGGGCUCAACCCCGGCUAGCAGUUGAAACUGGAUGCCUUGAGAUGUCGAGAGGUAGGCGGAAUUCGCGGUGUAGCGGUGAAAUGCAUAGAUAUUGCGAAGAACCCCGAUUGCGAAGGCAGCAUACCGGCG